CUACGGGGGGCUGCAGUGGGGAAUCUUAGACAAUGGGGGAAACCCUGAUCUAGCCAUGCCGCGUGAGCGACGACGGCCCUAGGGUUGUAAAGCUCUUUCAGCAGGGAAGAUAAUGACGGUACCUGCAGAAGAAGUCCCGGCUAACUCCGUGCCAGCAGCGCGCGGUAAUACGGAGGGGACUAGCGUUGUUCGGAAUUACUGGGCGUAAAGCGCGCGUAGGCGGAUUGUUAAGUCGGGGGUGAAAUCCCGGGGCUCAACCCCGGAACUGCCCUCGAUACUGGCAGUCUUGAGUUCGAGAGAGGUGAGUGGAAUUCCGAGUGUAGAGGUGAAAUUCGUAGAUAUUCGGAGGAACACCAGUGGCGAAGGCGGCUCACUGGCUCGAUACUGACGCUGAGGUGCGAAAGCGUGGGGAGCAAACAGGAUUAGAUACCCCGGUAGUC
This 440-nucleotide ribosomal RNA is filed under the name uncultured bacterium. Its description in RNAcentral is "partial 16S ribosomal RNA". It matches the Rfam family "Bacterial small subunit ribosomal RNA", at positions 339 to 795 of the family's 1533-position model. The record is from RNAcentral.